GAUGAACGCUGGCGGCGUGCCUAAUACAUGCAAGUCGAGCGAACAGACGAGGAGCUUGCUCCUCUGACGUUAGCGGCGGACGGGUGAGUAACACGUGGAUAACCUACCUAUAAGACUGGGAUAACUUCGGGAAACCGGAGCUAAUACCGGAUAAUAUAUUGAACCGCAUGGUUCAAUAGUGAAAGACGGUUUUGCUGUCACUUAUAGAUGGAUCCGCGCCGCAUUAGCUAGUUGGUAAGGUAACGGCUUACCAAGGCAACGAUGCGUAGCCGACCUGAGAGGGUGAUCGGCCACACUGGAACUGAGACACGGUCCAGACUCCUACGGGAGGCAGCAGUAGGGAAUCUUCCGCAAUGGGCGAAAGCCUGACGGAGCAACGCCGCGUGAGUGAUGAAGGUCUUCGGAUCUUAAAACUCUGUUAUUAGGGAAGAACAAAUGUGUAAGUAACUAUGCACGUCUUGACGGUACCUAAUCAGAAAGCCACGGCUAACUACGUG
This 497-nucleotide ribosomal RNA is filed under the name uncultured bacterium. Its description in RNAcentral is "partial 16S ribosomal RNA". It matches the Rfam family "Bacterial small subunit ribosomal RNA", at positions 28 to 507 of the family's 1533-position model. The record is from RNAcentral.